GUGGGGAAUAUUGGACAAUGGGGGCAACCCUGAUCCAGCAAUGCCGCGUGUGUGAAGAAGGUCUUCGGAUUGUAAAGCACUUUCGACGGGGACGAUGAUGACGGUACCCGUAGAAGAAGCCCCGGCUAACUUCGUGCCAGCAGCCGCGGUAAUACGAAGGGGGCUAGCGUUGCUCGGAAUGACUGGGCGUAAAGGGCGUGUAGGCGGUUUACACAGUCAGAUGUGAAAUCCCCGGGCUUAACCUGGGAGCUGCAUUUGAUACGUGUAGACUAGAGUGUGAGGGAGGGUUGUGGAAUUCCCAGUGUAGAGGUGAAAUUCGUAGAUAUUGGGAAGAACACCGGUGGCGAAGGCGGCAACCUGGCUCAUGACUGACGCUGAGGCGCGAAAGCGUGGGGAGCAAACAGGAUUAGAUACCCGAGUAGUCC
Molecule: ribosomal RNA, 425 nt
Filed under: uncultured bacterium
Lineage: Bacteria
Description: partial 16S ribosomal RNA
Rfam family: Bacterial small subunit ribosomal RNA
Source: RNAcentral